This is a long non-coding RNA of Brassica napus (rape), 4624 nucleotides long. RefSeq lists it as uncharacterized. The record is from RefSeq and is a predicted model, not a curated record. The transcript has 2 exons. NCBI's taxonomy places the organism in Eukaryota, Viridiplantae, Streptophyta, Magnoliopsida, Brassicales, Brassicaceae.
GGCCCACGGGCCGAGAAAGCGGGCGUGGGUGGCCCACUAGCUGUGGGCGGUCGGGGCAUUAUAAGUGGUAUCAGAGCUGGUUAGCCAUUUCAGUUCUGACCUGAGAGGCGUCUUGAGACCUAUCGUGGAGCGCAACGAGGACAUUGCGUUCUUUGAGAGGGGGUGAAUUGUAACAUCCCGAGUUGUGAUAUGUGAAAAUGCUUAAGAGAAUUGAUUUGGCUACCUAUGUCACCAAAGUUGACUUACCUUUUCUGGAGCACAUCCUGAACAUAUUCGGUGGUGUUUUGGCCUGUUAGUGGACAGCGAGUGUGCACCUCGCUAGGACUGUUCUGUGAUCUUUGGGUACUUUAGGUACCGUGUUUGCAACAUGUUAGGAUUAAAUUAUAUUUAUUCGGAGUGCUCUGUCCGGGUCCAUGGACUUCGGGUUUAGUAUCCCAUACCUCACUGAGUGACUUCCCCGUUACUCACCCCUCUCUCUUCCCCAUUUCAGGUGAGACUGACGAGUAUAUGAUAUUUGGACGGAUUGGUGCUACUGAGCUUUUUAUUCGGAUUUUUAUUUGGGCUUUGGGUGAGUGUAAUUGGAUAUAUGGACUUUUAUUAUACGAGAUAUUGUUGGUUGCCCGCUGUUCUCCGGAUUGGAGAUGACGGGUGUCACAGCAAGCUUGGGAGAGAAGUAAGCGUUGGCAAGUUUGGGAGAGAAGUAAGCAUUCUAUUAAGAAUGGAAAGAAAAUGAUCAAAACCAAUAAGAGAUAUUAAUCAACUUGGACUCAAAAAAAUAUUUCAUAAUGGAAACCCUAAUUAAAGCUACCUCUUGUUCAAGUAAGGCGUAUAAGGUGAGUGAAUUCUUGGACGACAAGGAUGACAAGUUAGGUAUAAAUGCGAACGCAAUUGUUUGAUGUCGAAUGAAUAACGCGAAUGCACCAUCUUGAGAAAGAGAUUUGUCUUCUUUUAUCUCAGCCAAAUAAACCCUGACCUAUUUCUUUCUUUCAGUUUAUAUAUAGAUAGGUUUUUUUAUAUAGAUAGGUUUAAUUGUGUGAUAAUAUUAAAUAAUAUCUUUGCUAACUACUCUACCUAGAAACUAGUCGUAUUUUAAAUGAUUAUAGGCGAGAUUAUCAAAUGAAAAUUUCCUUGGUAAAAUCUAAACAGAGUAAAUAUUCUUCCAAGAAUAAUUUACUAAAAUAUCCGAAGAAAAAUCUAUAAACGAGAAUUUAUCGCCAAAACUACUAAUUUUUACGGACCCUUUGGCUGAUCCGGUUAACUUCGGAAAAAAACACACUUAAUGCUACAUAAAGGAUUGACCAUCACAUUGCAUCAUCCGAGUUUGGAGUGCCUUUUGACAAAUGCCAGAAGUGGACCGUUUAUUGUUCACAAUGUUAACCAUCUGAGCCGAAGCCCAAACCCAAACUAACUAAAUAAUGAUAAUUUAGUUCGCAGGGGGAAUCGAACUCAGAACCAACAUGAAUACAUGCUAAGCCCAAAAAAAUGACACUAAAGUACUACCACUUGACUUAGAAAAAAAAACUACUCGUGAUGAAACUGAUGGAAGCCGAAUAUGUCCACUAGAGAGUUGAUUUUAGGUAUUAACAUAUACAAAGAGUCCAUUAAUUUUCUUUGGAAAUACAUGUUCAGGCAAUACUAUAGUUUCUCCCUAAUCACUCAACAUGGUUCGAAUUAUUUUGCUUUUAUUCAUAAGUUUCAUCCCCUUAACUUUUACUUACACAAGCAAAGAUUAUGUAAUUUAUGGACUAAACCAUACGUGUCACACGUGCGUGUCCUUUGGUAUCCCACCUUCUCUUUGCUGAUGAUAACCUUUUCUUCUGUAAGGCGGAGCCCCGUGAAUGUGAAGAAGUAAUGAAAGUAGUCAGGAAGUAUGGUAAAGCAUCAGGUCAAUGUAUCAACUUUGAUAAAUCGUCCUUACUCUUUGGUAAGCGGAUUAAUGCAACUAGUAGACAAGAGAUUAAAGAUGCACUUGUAAUACAAAACGAAGGAGGAAUGGGGACUUAGGUAUCCCGGAAGACAUAAGUGUUUUCAAGUGCAAAAUUUUUGCAUUUCUCAAGGAUAAGUUAAUGCAUAGAGUGAAUGGAUGGACAUGUAGAUGGCUAUCAAAAGGAGGGAAGGAAGUGUUGGUUAAAUCCAUUUUGUUUGCUCUUUCGACUUACGUUAUGUCUACUUUCCUGCUCCCGUUGGAGAUAUGUGAAAACCUAGCAAGGGCCAUUGCUCAAUUCUGGGGGAGUUCAAAUCCAUUAUGAAGAGAAAUACACUGGGAGAAAUGGGGAAAUGUCUGCCUACCAAGAGAGGAGGGUGAGAUUGGUUUUCUUUUGAUCCAUGAUUUUAAUCUGGCUCUAUUGGCGAAACAACUAUGGAGGCUUGUUCAAUUCCCUGACUCUUUGGUUGCCCGGGUAUUGAGGGGAAGAUACUAUAGACUAAGUUUACCACUAAGAGUAAACUCUGCUAGCAGUCCAUCUUAUGUGUGGACUAGCAUUUCUGUUGCAAGGAAGUUGUUGUUAUUGGGAAUCUGACAGAAGAUACAUUCAGGUUAUGAAGUCAAGGUGUGGGAGGAUCUGUGGAUCCCAACGACCCCUGUGAGACCAGCUAUUCCUGCGGCGCCAGUUAUGCAUCCCAAUAUGAGAGUUAGCGAUCUCAUUAAUCAGGUAUCGAACAUGCCUCGAGCCGUCCCCAAGGUAUGGAUGGCUUCAGAUAUGGACGGCUUCAGAUAUGUUUUCCGGAUUUCAACAUCAUUCAUAUUUUAAGAGCGCGCAAUCAGAUUUGAGACUUUUUAGCUAAGACUACUAGAUCUUUCUAUAGGGAAUUAUUUUUUAUUGGUUGUUCUAUUCUGGCCUGGUUACCCAGACCACCUCAAGUUUGAGUUUUAGAAUGACCUUUUGACGUCAAAAAAAAAAAACCCCCAAAAUAUGUAAAUCAUAUUUUCCAGUGUAUAAAUAACCAUCUAACCAGGUUCAUUUCAAGAUAGUUAUUUCAUCAGAUAGUUAAAACCCUCUUUUACAGUUCCUGUUCUGGAUUUGGGUCUUCAUAACUAUAGGAACCAAGAAUAAUCACAAUUAAUCUACUAUAACAAUAAUAGUUAUAAUAAUAAUAAUCGUCAGUCUAUUGAUGUAAAUAUAAGUAACAAGUUGGAUAAGAAACGUGAAAAUCUGUUUUUUUGGUCUAAAUGUGAAAUGUGAAAAUCUGUUAUCCAUUGAUGAAGAUGAUGAGUGUUAAUUACGCCGUGUAUAUAUACAUUUGAGAAAACCAACUCUAUGCCAUUGUAAACCAUCCAGUAAUUUAUAAUUAAUAUGUUUAAUGAUUCUUAAAUUAGUGUAAAACAAUUUAACUGUACAUUAAAACUGCUCCUUCAAGAUGGAGAUAGAUUUUUCCUCAAAAAAAAGAGAGAUGGAGAUAGAUGGUUUUUGCCAGAACAUAUGCAACGUGAUGUUCAGUUUUGACAAACAUGAUUUUCAUAAAACCUUCUUCAAGUUGCUUCCCGCAUGACAAUAGUUUAUUUAAGUGAACCCAUAAAAAGACAAUAAGUAAGAAUUUUGUGGGACGUUAUUGUGAGCAAUUAAACCUAUCUUGAUCCUCAGUUUUUGUUUUGGCGUUGAGCCUGCAUUAAAAAAAAUUGAACAAAGUCAUCACUAAUCAAUAUAUACUAAUCUUUAUAUCUUUAUAUAUAUAAUAGGUUUUGCUUCUCUCCCAGGGUGUCCACCUCAGCUGCCCGCACAUAAAUUCGAGCUCUAUGGUGUCAACACGUGUCCUGAAAAUACAAAACGCAACACUUCAUCGAGGCUUCUUCGCUGCACAGCGUUUCAUUUAAUCGUUUUUUUAUGUUUGUUGGGCUUAUUCAUUUGCCCGUGUAUCUUUUACAUUUAUAUCCCAAUGGGCCCGGUGGACCAUUAUCGAUCGUCAACCCUAAUUGUUCUUACGGGAGGAAUCUAGGAUCAGGUUCAUCUCUCAUUCUCUCUCCUCUUCUGUUCUGCUUCCCCGAUCUCUGAAACGGCCGAUGGCUUCUGUGAUUAAUUCCAUAAACUCGAUCGGCCACGAUGGGGUCUCUUAAAUGUGUGGUUCACGUCGGCAGGGCGGUGUGUGUUUACGGUAUAAUAAAUAUGUCAGUACUUCAGCUCUUUGAAUCAUCUUUUCUCUCAUCUCUUUUAGUACCAGAUGUUAUAGAAGUUACUGCAGUAAAAAUUAUUGGUGAAGCGGCCUUACGACCACUGCCGUUCAGUGUGAAGCGGACUUCGUCGGAAGUGUAUGGCGAAGAUUAUCUUGGAGGAGAUGGAGUUGAGAUGAGGAUGAGAGCUCCUACUUUUCUUUGAAGAAAUUGAUCGACAACUCAAGACUAUUACUCGGUUAGCGCCGGUGCUCAUGUCGAAGGAGCUUUCGUGAUGUUUGGUAUGUUCACCGGCGGCGUUAAAGAAGUUCUAUUUUUCGGCACCGUUUGUGACUUAUGUGUUAUCCCGAGUUUGUAACACGUGUUUAAAGAGGUGGCUUCAUUUUGCUAAGCCUUAUCAACUUCUGAUGGGUUUCUUUUAGGCGUACGUAGUUGGGUUUCAACAUCACCAUUUGUAAUCGAAAAGGCGACAAAAACGUAUAUCUUCUCACCUUAAUGCAGUGCCCGACUAUUCUCUCU